GAUGAACGCUGGCGGCGUGCCUAGUACAUGCAAGUCGAGCGAACAGACGAGGAGCUUGCUCCUUUGACGUUAGCGGCGGACGGGUGAGUAACACGUGGGUAACCUACCUAUAAGACUGGGAUAACUUCGGGAAACCGGAGCUAAUACCGGAUAAUAUUUCGAACCGCAUGGUUCGAUAGUGAAAGAUGGCUUUGCUAUCACUUAUAGAUGGACCUGCGCCGUAUUAGCUAGUUGGUAAGGUAACGGCUUACCAAGGCAACGAUACGUAGCCGACCUGAGAGGGUGAUCGGCCACACUGGAACUGAGACACGGUCCAGACUCCUACGGGAGGCAGCAGUAGGGAAUCUUCCGCAAUGGGCGAAAGCCUGACGGAGCAACGCCGCGUGAGUGAUGAGGGUCUUCGGAUCGUAAAACUCUGUUAUUAGGGAAGAACAAACGUGUAAGUAACUGUGCACGUCUUGACGGUACCUAAUCAGAAAGCCACGGCUAACUACGUGCCAGCAGCCGCGGUAAUACGUAGGUGGCAAGCGUUAUCCGGAAUUAUUGGGCGUAAAGCGCGCGUAGGCGGUUUUUUAAGUCUGAUGUGAAAGCCCACGGCUCAACCGUGGAGGGUCAUUGGAAACUGGAAAACUUGAGUGCAGAAGAGGAAAGUGGAAUUCCAUGUGUAGCGGUGAAAUGCGCAGAGAUAUGGAGGAACACCAGUGGCGAAGGCGACUUUCUGGUCUGUAACUGACGCUGAUGUGCGAAAGCGUGGGGAUCAAACAGGAUUAGAUACCCUGGUAGUCCACGCCGUAAACGAUGAGUGCUAAGUGUUAGGGGGUUUCCGCCCCUUAGUGCUGCAGCUAACGCAUUAAGCACUCCGCCUGGGGAGUACGACCGCAAGGUUGAAACUCAAAGGGAUUGACGGGGACCCGCACAAGCGGUGGAGCAUGUGGUUUAAUUCGAAGCAACGCGAAGAACCUUACCAAAUCUUGACAUCCUUUGACCCUUCUAGAGAUAGAAGUUUCCCCUUCGGGGGGCAAAGUGACAGGUGGUGCAUGGUUGUCGUCAGCUCGUGUCGUGGGAUGUUGGGUUAAGUCCCGCAACGAGCGCAACCCUUAAGCUUAGUUGCCAUCAUUAAGUUGGGCACUCUAAGUUGACUGCCGGUGACAAACCGGAGGAAGGUGGGGAUGACGUCAAAUCAUCAUGCCCCUUAUGAUUUGGGCUACACACGUGCUACAAUGGACAAUACAAAGGGCAGCGAAACCGCGAGGUCAAGCAAAUCCCAUAAAGUUGUUCUCAGUUCGGAUUGUAGUCUGCAACUCGACUACAUGAAGCUGGAAUCGCUAGUAAUCGUAGAUCAGCAUGCUACGGUGAAUACGUUCCCGGGUCU
This 1372-nucleotide ribosomal RNA is filed under the name uncultured bacterium. RNAcentral describes it as "bacterial SSU rRNA". It matches the Rfam family "Bacterial small subunit ribosomal RNA", at positions 28 to 1381 of the family's 1533-position model. The record is from RNAcentral.